This 254-nucleotide ribosomal RNA is filed under the name uncultured bacterium. Its description in RNAcentral is "partial 16S ribosomal RNA". It matches the Rfam family "Bacterial small subunit ribosomal RNA", at positions 524 to 776 of the family's 1533-position model. The record is from RNAcentral.
UACGUAGGGUGCAAGCGUUAAUCGGAAUUACUGGGCGUAAAGCGUGCGCAGGCGGUUCGUUAAGACCGAUGUGAAAUCCCCGGGCUUAACCUGGGAACUGCAUUGGUGACUGGCAGGCUUUGAGUGUGGCAGAGGGAGGUAGAAUUCCACGUGUAGCAGUGAAAUGCGUAGAGAUGUGGAGGAAUACCGAUGGCGAAGGCAGCCUCCUGGGCCAACACUGACGCUCAUGCACGAAAGCGUGGGGAGCAAACAGG